This 406-nucleotide ribosomal RNA is filed under the name uncultured bacterium. RNAcentral describes it as "partial 16S ribosomal RNA". It matches the Rfam family "Bacterial small subunit ribosomal RNA", at positions 30 to 526 of the family's 1533-position model. The record is from RNAcentral.
AUCGAACGCUGGCGGCAGGCCUAACACAUGCAAGUCGAACGAGUGGCGGACGGGUGAGUAAUUGCUGGGCAACUGCCCGACGGAGGGGGAUAACUACUGUAAACGGUAGCUAAUACCGCAUACCAUCGGAUGUGCCCAGAUGGGAUUAGCUAGUAGGUGGGGUAACGGCUCACCGAGGCGACGAGCCCCACCUGGUCUGAGAGGAUGACCAGCCACACUGGAACUGAGACACGGUCCAGACUCCUACGGGAGGCAGCAGUGGGGAAUCUUGGACAAUGGGCGCAAGCCUGAUGCAGCCAUGCCGCGUGUAUGAAGAAGGCCUUCGGGUUGUAAAGUUCUUUCAGCGAGGAGGCGUUACUCACAGAAGAAGCAACGGCUAACUACGUGCCAGCAGCCGCGGUAAUAC